This 263-nucleotide ribosomal RNA is filed under the name uncultured bacterium. Its description in RNAcentral is "partial 16S ribosomal RNA". It matches the Rfam family "Bacterial small subunit ribosomal RNA", at positions 524 to 786 of the family's 1533-position model. The record is from RNAcentral.
UACGUAGGUGGCGAGCGUUAUCCGGAUUUACUGGGUGUAAAGGGCGUGUAGGCGGGCGUGCAAGUCAGAUGUGAAAAUUAUGGGCUCAACCCAUAACCUGCAUUUGAAACUGUAUGUCUUGAGUGAUGGAGAGGCAGGCGGAAUUCCGUGUGUAGCGGUGAAAUGCGUAGAUAUACGGAGGAACACCAGUGGCGAAGGCGGCCUGCUGGACAUUAACUGACGCUGAUGCGCGAAAGCGUGGGGAGCAAACAGGAUUAGAUACC